AGCUGCAGAAGAAGCACCGGCUAACUCCGUGCCAGCAGCCGCGGUAAUACGGAGGGUGCGAGCGUUAAUCGGAAUUACUGGGCGUAAAGCGCAUGCAGGUGGUUUGUUAAGUCAGAUGUGAAAGCCCGGGGCUCAACCUCGGAAUUGCAUUUGAAACUGGCAGACUAGAGUACUGUAGAGGGGGUAGAAUUUCAGGUGUAGCGGUGAAAUGCGUAGAGAUCUGAAGGAAUACCGGUGGCGAAGGCGGCCCCCUGGACAGAUACUGACACUCAGAUGCGAAAGCGUGGGGAGCAAACAGGAUUAGAUACCCUGGUAG
This 316-nucleotide ribosomal RNA is filed under the name uncultured bacterium. RNAcentral describes it as "bacterial SSU rRNA". It matches the Rfam family "Bacterial small subunit ribosomal RNA", at positions 477 to 793 of the family's 1533-position model. The record is from RNAcentral.